This 424-nucleotide ribosomal RNA is filed under the name uncultured bacterium. RNAcentral describes it as "bacterial SSU rRNA". It matches the Rfam family "Bacterial small subunit ribosomal RNA", at positions 354 to 796 of the family's 1533-position model. The record is from RNAcentral.
GUGGGGAAUAUUGGACAAUGGGCGAAAGCCUGAUCCAGCAAUGCCGCGUGAGUGAUGAAGGCCCUAGGGUUGUAAGCUCUUUUACCCGGGAUGAUAAUGACAGUACCGGGAGAAUAAGCUCCGGCUAACUUCGUGCCAGCAGCCGCGGUAAUACGAGGGGAGCUAGCGUUGUUCGGAAUUACUGGGCGUAAAGCGCGCGUAGGCGGUUUUUUAAGUCAGAGGUGAAAGCCCGGGGCUCAACCCCGGAAUUGCCUUUGAAACUGGAAAACUAGAAUCUUGGAGAGGUCAGUAGAAUUCCGAGUGUAGAGGUGAAAUUCGUAGAUAUUCGGAAGAACACCAGUGGCGAAGGCGACUGACUGGACAAGUAUUGACGCUGAGGUGCGAAAGCGUGGGGAGCAAACAGGAUUAGAAACCCUGGUAGUCC